AUCGCUUCUCGGCCUUUUGGCUCAGAUCAAGUGUAGUUUCUGUUCUUAUCAGUUUAAUAUCUGAUAGUCCCCUAUAUGAGGACGUUGUAUUAAAUUGAUUUUUCGGACAGGGAGAUGGACUAGGGGCUUGCUCUGUCCUCUCCAAGCAUCAACCUGGUAUUGCAGUAUAUCCGGGGAUGGUGCACUUACU
Poeciliopsis prolifica (blackstripe livebearer) is the source of this 190-nucleotide small nuclear RNA. RefSeq annotates it as U2 spliceosomal RNA. NCBI's taxonomy places the organism in Eukaryota, Metazoa, Chordata, Actinopteri, Cyprinodontiformes, Poeciliidae. The record is from RefSeq and is a predicted model, not a curated record. The transcript has a single exon.